Long non-coding RNA from Raphanus sativus (radish), 286 nucleotides. RefSeq lists it as uncharacterized. The record is from RefSeq and is a predicted model, not a curated record. The transcript is spliced from 3 exons. Lineage: Eukaryota; Viridiplantae; Streptophyta; Magnoliopsida; Brassicales; Brassicaceae.
UCUCUCUAGUUUUUGCUUAUCUUCUUUUUUUUCUUUCUUUCCUACAUAGUUGGGACAGAUGGAAAAAAGCGAGCACGGUGUAAAACAAACCGAUGGAGAAGAUGACGAGGAGCUCGUUCCAUUGAUAGAGCAGGUCAUUAAUGAUCUAGAGUCUAGAGUGGAAGCAGCGAAAUCAGCACUUGAACUGAUAAAAAAAAUGGCAAAGGAGGAGCCCAUAGCUCCUACCAUCCUCCCUAUCAAGGCUUCUCUUGGGGAUGAAAGUACGAGUAGUGUGUCACAUCUUAAG